GGGGUUGUGGCUCAGUGGUAGAGUGCUUGCCUAGCUUGCAUGAGGCACUGGGUUCAAUCCUCAGCACCACA
RNAcentral lists this transfer RNA (71 nucleotides) under Marmota monax (woodchuck). RNAcentral describes it as "tRNA.Ala". It matches the Rfam family "tRNA". Rfam says of the family: Transfer RNA (tRNA) molecules are approximately 80 nucleotides in length. Their secondary structure includes four short double-helical elements and three loops (D, anti-codon, and T loops). The record is from RNAcentral. Lineage: Eukaryota; Metazoa; Chordata; Mammalia; Rodentia; Sciuridae.